This is a long non-coding RNA of Physeter macrocephalus (sperm whale), 1765 nucleotides long. RefSeq lists it as uncharacterized. Lineage: Eukaryota; Metazoa; Chordata; Mammalia; Artiodactyla; Physeteridae. The transcript is spliced from 4 exons. The record is from RefSeq and is a predicted model, not a curated record.
UAAUUUUUAAUCUGUUUUCUCAGAAUACAAUUGACUAUUUUGAAAACUCUAAAAAGUCAAAACAAAAUACUCCCUUUCAUUCUUGACAAAACCAGCCACUUUCCCCCUGUUUAGGUAACCUCUGUUCAGAAACUGGAAGCACUUUACAGAAAGCAUUUUUUCCUUAAUUGGUGCGUUGAGGAGGAUAUAGAAGGUAGAGGAAAACUUAGAAAACUGUGGCCAUAUGGGAAGCCCUGGAGAGGCCUGAACCAUUGAGAAUCUCCUAUUAGUCUGUGAGCAGGGAAGACAGGAGGAAGCUACAGGAGAGACAAUGAUAGUCAAAGCGGUGAGGUCCCAUGAAACGAAGAGGAAAAGAGGGACCUCAACGCACAGGAAAGACGGUAGCUUCAGGAAGAACCCAUUUAUCUGAAGGUCAACAGUAAGUUUAUGGGGAUGAACCCUGCUGUCCACAUUACAGACAUGAUCUUAAGCAGAGACUUCACACUGGAGAAGAUCCCCCAGAAUGUAACAAAUAUGAGGAGAUUUCACAUAGAACCCAACUUUCGCGCCACAUGACUGACAUCUCACAGGACAGAAACCCUAUACUUGCAAUCAAUUCGGAAGAGCCUUCAGCAUUUAUUCAUCAUUGAAUUAACAUAGGCUAAUUUAUACUGGAGUGAAACCAUGUAGGUCUCAUCAAUGUGGGAAGGCUUGCAGGCAAUGCUGUAACCUUAGAUGACAUGAGAAAACUGACCCUGAAGUGAACCCCUAUAUAUGUCAUAAACGUGGAAGAUAGUUGAGCUGGAGCCUCACAUUUAAAUACAGCAGAAACUCACACUGGAGAGAAACCUUAAUGUGAUAAACAUGGGACACACUUCAGCAGAGCCUUAACAUUUAUUCACACUGAUGAACUCCCAAGGUGAGAAACCAUCUGUCUCGAAACACUAAAAUCUGAUGCUUCAAUUAUUCUAUACCUUUCAUAUUUUCACUUAAUGUGCCCCUCAUAACUUAAAACUGAAUUACAAAUAAAUUUAAUUUUUCACAAGAGUCCUAGUCCUGGAGAAUUUGUGGACACUGCCAUGAAAAUCCCAAGAAUUCAUUCAGGCAGGGGUUUAUUCCUACAUCAGAAUUUUUUAGCCAAAAGUUUUUUUCCCCCACCAAAAACACAUAGAUAUGUCAGGACCGAGAAGCUGAAAGAUCAUUCCAGAAACACAACAUUGUAAAGCAACUAUACCGCAAUAAAUAAAAUAAGGUGAGAGAAGUGUUAAUUAUCUUUAUCACGUGCUGCAUUGCAUCCCUGGAACUUCAUCUCUCUUAAGGCUGGACGCUUGCAGUUUGGGUCACCUUCAUCCAGUCCCACCCCUUCCCAGGCCCUGCCUCUGGCGACCACAAAUCGGACUGUUAUUGGAUGAGUUUGUUUGUUGGUUGGUUGGCUGUUGAAAUAUAACUGAUCUACAACACUGUGUUACUUCUUGUUACACAACAGAGUAAUAUGGAAUUUCUAUACAUUUCAAAAUGAGCACCGGGUCCUCUGCUUGGAGAGGAGCCAGGUCACCGGCGCGUCUGAGGCCCUGGGCCCCACCGCCAAGCUCAGGGACAGGUCCCUGUCUGCGGAGGACGAGGCAGCCUCCAGGGGCCAGAGAAGAUGUUGAGAUCGCGCCCCUUCUCUCCGUCCUCUCACUCCAAGUUCCCGCGGCGGCGGCAGAGAGCCGGGCCGGACGCGCAGCCCGAGUGUAUGCGCCGAGGGAGGGAAGCGGCUGCGGUUCCGGCCCCGCGGGGCUGAGCC